GCCGCGCGCUCUUGAAUUCCGCCGGGUCGACCAUCGCUUCCCUGAGCAUCAUCACGCCAUAGCGUGUCGCCGCCAUGAGGUCGUCGCGCAGCUUCACCACCUGGCCGUCCUUGCGGUGGUAGACGGGUAGCGCAUCGACCCAGCGGCCACCACUCUUGAUGACGUGGAUAAUGCCGCUGAUCACCCUGCGGUCAUCAACGCGCGGCCUGCC
This 211-nucleotide unclassified non-coding RNA is filed under the name uncultured bacterium. RNAcentral's name for it is "contains 16S-23S intergenic spacer region". The record is from RNAcentral.